Molecule: ribosomal RNA, 497 nt
Filed under: uncultured bacterium
Lineage: Bacteria
Description: partial 16S ribosomal RNA
Rfam family: Bacterial small subunit ribosomal RNA
Source: RNAcentral
GAUGAACGCUGGCGGCGUGCCUAAUACAUGCAAGUCGAGCGAACAGACGAGGAGCUUGCUCCUCUGACGUUAGCGGCGGACGGGUGAGUAACACGUGGAUAACCUACCUAUAAGACUGGGAUAACUUCGGGAAACCGGAGCUAAUACCGGAUAAUAUAUUGAACCGCAUGGUUCAAUAGUGAAAGACGGUUUUGCUGUCACUUAUAGAUGGAUCCGCGCCGCAUUAGCUAGUUGGUAAGGUAACGGCUUACCAAGGCAACGAUGCGUAGCCGACCUGAGAGCGUGAUCGGCCACACUGGAACUGAGACACGGUACAGACUCCUACGGGAGGCAGCAGUAGGGACUCUUCCGCAAUGGGCGAAAGCCUGACGGAGCAACGCCGCGUGAGUGAUGAAGGUCUUCGGAUCGUAAAACUCUGUUAUUAGGGAAGAACAAAUGUGUAAGUAACUAUGCACGUCUUGACGGUACCUAAUCAGAAAGCCACGGCUAACUACGUG